CCAAGUGAUGAGUGAAACGCUGUGCACCAGUCUGAAAGUUCCACACGUACUCGUGGAGCAGUGAAGCAUUGAGUAUAACCCAAUAUCUGAUG
RNAcentral lists this small nucleolar RNA (92 nucleotides) under Lachancea lanzarotensis. Lineage: Eukaryota; Fungi; Ascomycota; Saccharomycetes; Saccharomycetales; Saccharomycetaceae. The record is from RNAcentral.